AGCGAACAUUGGCGGUAGGCUUAACACAUGCAAGUCGAGCGAGGCUUAGAGCCGAGCGGCGAACGGGUGAGUAUAACUUGGGAAUCUACCCUGAAGUGGGGGAUAACGUUCAGAAAUGAACGCUAAUACCGCAUAAUCCACAUUGGGAAAGCGCGCUGCGCUUUAGGAUGAGCCCAAGCCUGAUUAGCUAGUUGGUGGGGUAAAGGCCCACCAAGGCAACGAUCAGUAGCUGGUCUGAGAGGAUGACCAGCCACACUGGGACUGAGACACGGCCCAGACUCCUACGGGAGGCAGCAGUGGGGAAUAUUGCGCAAUGGGCGAAAGCCUGACGCAGCGACGCCGCGUGGGUGAUGAAGGCC
This 359-nucleotide ribosomal RNA is filed under the name uncultured bacterium. Its description in RNAcentral is "bacterial SSU rRNA". It matches the Rfam family "Bacterial small subunit ribosomal RNA", at positions 29 to 416 of the family's 1533-position model. The record is from RNAcentral.